This 3399-nucleotide ribosomal RNA is filed under the name Triticum aestivum (bread wheat). RNAcentral describes it as "partial small subunit ribosomal RNA". Lineage: Eukaryota; Viridiplantae; Streptophyta; Magnoliopsida; Poales; Poaceae. The record is from RNAcentral.
CAACGAAGGAGCUAGAUCCUUUAGGAUCCCGCACCAGAACCUGCGGCGGCGGCGGUCACGGAGAACUAGGAGGGCUGCGGUAGGACAGGAGCGCGGCGGUAGGAUAGGAGCAUUAGAUCCCAGGAGAGGAGCGGCGGCGGCGGGAUAUAGCCGGAGCUAGAAACAGAUCUUGAGAUCCCAAGAUGUGGCGGCGGCGGCGGCGGCGGCUUGGUCCCUCUGCGGCUACUGGCAACGGCGGCAGCACCUAGUGGUCCUACGGCGGCGGACGUGGCGGUGGCGGCGCCGCAGCGCCGACCGCAACCGCUUAGGUAAGGGUGAAAGGGUCUCCGCCGCCGAAGGCCGCUCCUCCGCUCGCUCGAGUCCCUCGAGACCGCCCCCGAACAGCGGCCACUCCGCUCCGGUUCCACCGCCGCGCGCCUGCGCUCCUCCGCCCUACCUCCUCCGCGUCCUCCUGCGGCCGGCCACCCCGAGGCCGCCCCCUAACCGCUCCCGCUGCCGCCAGCCGCACGAACGAACCCUCCUACCUCCGACGGAGCGACCCCGAGCCCGUGCCGUCGUGCCGCAACCCGGCAACGGCUACCGCGGUCCCGGUCCCGCCACCAAACUGCCCGCUGCUCCUCCUCCACGAUAGGAUCUCGGUCGUUGCCGCCGACGUCGAACUGCUACGCCCGCAGUUGUCGAACGAAGUCCCCGACGGCACUUGCCGCAACACGAGCGCGCGCUCUGGGCACAGACUAAACCUUUCUUAGUUAGGCCACUUCUUCUUCCGGUUACGUUGACGAGAGAUCGAUCCGUGACCUCAUAGACGUGGGGGUUACCUUACCAUGCUUAACGAUGACCAUGACUUGUAACUGUCCGUUCGUUGUUGUUUGUCUGAAACGACAAAAGUCAGAUGACUCUAUAAACAACCCGUAGUGGCUCCUUGCGGUCGUUUCCGCACUUCUUUAUGAGCGUUAGUCACACUGUACAGCACACUCUACUUCCACCGUUUGGUAGGUUUGAACUUCGGUUCGUACACCACCUAGGCGGUACCUACUACCUACCUGGCCACUCACAACUUCAAACUCGACACUUUGAAAUACGCUAGCUCGAGGACCACAUUAAUUCGUAUACCGAAAACACUACACAGUACAUCCAUCACUAACGGAUAUAAAGAAAGGGAGAAUUUAAACAACAUUAUUUCAACAGGAAACGUCUUCCUUCUAACUUGGCGGAAAACCAAAUCCAUCUUCGUGGGUAACUACAACCUCUUCAAAAUCUUCUUUACGUUCUCUUCCUACAUCAAGAUCCCACCAGGCGUAUAUCAUCCUUCCUACACUUGUUUUUACGUUCUCUUCCUACAUCAAGAUCCCACCAGGCGUAUAUCACACACACACACAGGGGACAAAACAAUAAAUCCGAAGUAAUAAGAUGUUUUAUAUAAAUAAUGAAACUAAUGAGUCUAAUGGUGUUUUAUAUAUUCAACAAAUCCGAAUAUAAAACAAUAAUAAGAUGUUUUAUAUAUUCAACAAACCCGUAUAUGUUAUUGAAUGGCGUUUUAUAUAAAACAAUAAAUCCGAAGUAAUAAGAUGUUAAAGACCGUUUAGUUAUUUGUACGGUAUGUAUUCAACAAAAACUUGGGGUUUUUAUAUAUAUACAGGGGACAACGUUGAAUGUUGGAGAAAAGGAAAUAAAGGAAAGAAUUAUAAUUUCCCUCCACUCAAAGAAAUUUUUCAAAUGUAACAAAUAUUUUAAAAUUUUGGUACCCUUUCAUCACGUAGUCCCUUCCAAGUGGUGAUCUGGGGGACUAACGUUGUUUUGUAGGAAAUACGACUAAUAAAAACCAUUAAUACAUAAAUUGUUUCGAGAGCACAAAACGACCGCGUACGGCAAACAAGGAGACGUUCACGGUGAAGCGACGUUGGUGAGACAGUAAGUACUUCUUACACUUCCGUUCCGAGGUAAGUUCCCUCGCGCCGAUCGUUGAUCCGGGAGAUCCACCUGCGCUAGAACUCGUCGUUUCUCGUCUACCAGGCUGUUCCGCUCGCACUAACGUCCGUUGACAAUGUGUACAGCUCAAACGACUGCUCUAAAGACAAGUUUUCCGCUCGCGCUCCGGUGGUGUUCCACCUGACCGCCUAACGAGAUUUUAACAACAUGUACGUUCUUGUCUCGUAAGCGCAAGGACAAACGGCUGCCCCGGUUGCUGCUCGACUCGAACGACAUCCGCCACCUCCGCGUGUGCAAGGGCGUGGACAAACGGCUCUACUUCUUCUUUCAACUGGAGCGCGGGCGACGGUAAUAGAGACGUUUCCGGAGACUGUCAAGCCACGAGUUUAGUUAACUACGGUUGUCUGGUCACUCCAGGUUAAUGGGGGACUAGACGCGUUUUUGACUUACGUCCGCGUUCUUGUGACUGAAGUCCUUGUCUCGUAAGCGUAAAGGCAAAUGGCUGCCACGGUUGCUGCUCAACUGGAGCGACAUUCGCUACCUCCGCGUGCGCAAGGGCGUGGUCAAGCGGCUCUACUUCUUUCAACCGGAGCGCGGGCGAGGGUAAUAGAGACGCUCCCGGAGACUGUCAAGCCACGAGUUUAGUUAACUGCGUUUGUCUGGUCACUCCUUUGUCUCUUCACCGGCCUACCCGUUAGUUGAGUAGACAAUUAACCUAACCCCCACCGUACUUGUUUCAUUUCUACUUCUUUCGUUCGAACCUGCGAUCCACCGCCGUGGUUGUCCCCUUCACAGUCCGCACUUGGUUUGUAGAUACCGAACAACGAAACUUAGAACGACCAGAUCCGUUCCAAAAAACAUUUGUAGACGUUCUCUGUUCUGAGUCGGGUAAUGUAUCCACCGCUGUUCACAUGUACUUUACUUGUCGCUCGUCAAUUCUUGAGUAAACGUAUCGUACCAAAUGGAGUAGUCUUAGUGGUUAAAGUACCGACGUAUACUAGAAUUUUCGACAACGUUCAAAGUUUUCCAGGGUCAAGAGUGUCAGUUACGGUCUUUGUAAGAAUUCCACCGCUGGUUAUCGAACUUUCAAAAGUAUGACAAAGAAGAGUUUUCGUAGUGUUAGUUUGUUCUGUCUACGUCAGCGUUGUUAGACGAGUAACUGGACCUAUGUUUCUCCAACGGUAGUGACUUUGUUCUUACGUUACGGUAAAAUAAGAUGUUUUAUAACGCAGGUUUCCAAACCAGACACUUUACUUCCUAUGGUUCAGAUAAGCGUGUUCUAUAACGUUUUACACUGUGAUUUACUGUCCCUCAAGGUUUAUUUCGUUUUCGUACCGUCGACCAUUGAGUGGUAGAGAACAAACUACAGUUUCGGUAUUACUGAGUUAUCGAAAACAUCAGGAACUGAGUGUCCCUCCGCUAGGAGAAAUCCGUCGAGAUGGUUUGAUACGUACACUACGAAGUACGGGG